ACUGCUCAGUAACACGUGGAUAACCUGCCCUGCGGUGGGAAAUAACCCCGGGAAACUGGGGAUAAUGUCCCAUAGGCUACGGAUGCUGGAAUGCUCUGUAGCUCAAAGAUUUAUCGCCACAGGAUGGGUCUGCGGCCGAUUAGGUAGUUGUUGGGGUAACGGCCCAACAAGCCUUUGAUCGGUACGGGUUGUGGGAGCAAGAGCCCGGAGAUGGAUUCUGAGACACGAAUCCAGGCCCUACGGGGCGCAGCAGGCGCGAAAACUUUACAAUGCGGGAAACCGUGAUAAGGGAACUCCGAGUGUCCGUCAAUGCGGACUGUCCGUACGUUUAAAAAGCAUGCGAAGAAAGGGCCGGGCAAGACCGGUGCCAGCCGCCGCGGUAAUACCGGCGGCUCGAGUGGUGGCCACUAUUACUGGGCUUAAAGCGUUCGUAGCUGGGUUGUUAAGUCUCUUGGGAAAUCUAUCGGCUUAACCGAUAGGCGUCCAAGGGAUACUGGCAAUCUAGGGACCGGGAGAGGUGAGGGGUACUUCAGGGGUAGGAGUGAAAUCCUGUAAUCCUUGGGGGACCACCUGUGGCGUAGGCGCCUCACCAGAACGGCUCCGACAGUGAGGGACGAAAGCUGGGGGAGCAAACCGGAUUAGAUACCCGGGUAGUCCCAGCCGUAAACGAUGCGCGUUAGGUGUAUCGAUGACCACGAGUCAUCGAGGUGCCGAAGGGAAACCGUGAAACGCGCCGCCUGGGAAGUACGGUCGCAAGGCUGAAACUUAAAGGAAUUGGCGGGGGAGCAC
RNAcentral lists this ribosomal RNA (789 nucleotides) under uncultured archaeon. RNAcentral's name for it is "bacterial SSU rRNA". It matches the Rfam family "Archaeal small subunit ribosomal RNA", at positions 85 to 879 of the family's 1478-position model. The record is from RNAcentral.